Molecule: ribosomal RNA, 1234 nt
Filed under: metagenome
Description: bacterial LSU rRNA
Rfam family: Bacterial large subunit ribosomal RNA
Source: RNAcentral
UGAUGACGAGACGCUAAGGCGUUGAAGCAGUGUAUGUCAGACUUCCAAGAAAAGCUCGCAAUGUCACAAAUAAAAAUUGCCUGUACCAUAACCGACACAGGUGGGUAGGUAGAGUAUACUAAGGGGCGCGAGAUAACUCUCUCUAAGGAACUCGGCAAAAUGACUCCGUAACUUCGGGAGAAGGAGUGCCUUAUUUAUAAGGUUGCAAUAACAAGAUCCAAGCAACUGUUUAUCAAAAACACAGGUCUCCGCUAAGUCGUAAGACGAUGUAUGGGGGCUGACGCCUGCCCAGUGCCAGAAGGUUAAAGAAGUUGGUUAGUGUAUGCGAAGCUGAUGACUGAAGCCCUGGUGAACGGCGGCCGUAACAAUAACGGUCCUAAGGUAGCGAAAUUCCUUGUCGGGUAAGUUCCGACCCGCACGAAAGGCGUAAUGAUUUGGAUACUGUCUCGGAGAGAGGCUCGGUGAAAUAGACUUGUCUGUGAAGAUGCGGACUACCUGCACCAGGACAGAAAGACCCUAUGAAGCUUUACUGUAACUUGAAAUUGGAAUUGGACUUUGCUUGCGCAGUAUAGGUGGGAAGCGUUGAAAAUAUUCUUGCGGGAGUAUUGGAGCUAUCAGUGAGAUACCACUCUUGUAAUGUUAGAUUUCUAACUUUGAACCAUAAUCUGGUCAAAGAACAGUUUCAGGUGGGCAGUUUGACUGGGGCGGUCGCCUCCCAAAUGGUAACGGAGGCGUACAAAGGUUUCCUCUGAACGGAUAGAAAUCGUAUCUAGAGUGUAAAGGCAUAAGGAAGCUUGACUGUGAGACCUACAAGUCGAGCAGGGACGAAAGUCGGUCUUAGUGAUCUGACGGUACUGAGUGGAAAGGCCGUCACUCAACGGAUAAAAGUUACUCUAGGAUAACAGGCUGAUCUCCCCCAAGAGUUCACAUCGACGGGGAGGUUUGGCACCUCGAUGUCGGCUCAUCGCAUCCUGGGGCGGUAGUACGUCCCAAGGGUUGGGCUGUUCGCCCAUGAAAGCGGUACGCGAGCUGGGUUCAGAACGUCGUGAGACAGUUCGGUCCAUAUCCGGUGUAGGCGCUAGAAUAUUGAGAGGAGCCUUCUUUAGUACGAGAGGGCCGAGAAGGACACACCGCUGGUGUACCAGUUAUCGUGCCAACGGUAAACGCUGGGUAGCUAUGUGUGGAGUGGAUAACCGCUGAAAGCAUCUAAGUGGGAAGCCCACCUCGAGAUGAG